Non-coding RNA from Oryza sativa Japonica Group (Japanese rice), 2438 nucleotides. The record is from RefSeq and is a predicted model, not a curated record. Lineage: Eukaryota; Viridiplantae; Streptophyta; Magnoliopsida; Poales; Poaceae.
CCUUUGCGCAAAAACUCCUUUCCUCCUCUCCUCCCUACCCCUAAACCCUAGCCGCCGCCGCCGCCUCUGCCUACAGCCUACCCCUCGCGUCGUCGCCGUCACGUCCACCUCCGCUGCUGUCGGCGAGGCGAGCAGCCAUCUCCGCCUCGGCGGCCGGCGUCGCCGACCGCCGCUGCUUCCGCCUUUGCCUCACGCCUCCGGCUGCCGGCGUCCGGAUCCGACGUCCAUGUGGUCGGGGGACGCGGAUCUGAGCUCCCCCCCGUGCGCCGGACAGCGUCUCCGCCUCGGCCGUCGCCGAGCAUCGCCACUUCUGCCUCCGCUUCGUUCUGCCACUGUCGAACGCCACCGCCGUAGCACCCACCCUCCGCUGCCGUCGCCAUCGCCGAGCACCCCUGCUGCGUCCUUCACCACCAUCGUCGACGGCCGCUGCUCCGCGCUCCGUUGCUGCUGCCAUCAAGAAGCGACGGUGGUGACAGAGCCGGCAUCAAUGAAGGUGGUGGCUGCGGCGAGAAGAGGAGAACCAUCCGUCGCCAGGCUGAUCUGCCGAUGAACUCGGGCAGCAACAUGGUCGGUGGCCGCCGUUACCUCCUUCCCCAGCGUCGCCUCCAUCGUCCUCCCUGCCUCGACGGCCAUGGCGGGCGGCAGUGUGGUUGACUGUGGCAUAUGUUCGAUUCAGGCAAAAGCAGAGAGGUGCCCUCCCUCCCCUUUCUCUCCCAUCUCUCCAUAGAUCUCUCUCUCUCUCUCUCUCUCUCUCUCUCUCUCUCUCUCUCUCUCUCUCUCUCUCAAGGGCAGAGAGGGAACCUCUGCGCGGCAAAGGCGACGUUGGGUGCAGGAUGGACCUACGGUGGAGGAGGAGGAUGGCUGAGCGGCGGCGGCGGGGGAGAGGGAGAGGGUGAGACGAGAGGAAUGAGGUGCUGUUGUGACGUUGUGUACUCUUUUCACUGCAUGUGUUGUCGUAGUCUCGCUGGGAAUGGAGCGGGGGAGAUGGGGUGUUGCCAGCGACAGCUGCAGGACUUGUCAUCGGCAUGGACCAAAGAGGCACAUAAUAAUAAGUCUGAAAUCUCAAUCUCCACUCUUUUUCUUUCUCACUUUUUACAUGCUCAUGUUGUUAUUGUCCUGUUCUUACCUUACAGUUGCAGCGUACUAACUUAUAUCUAAUGGAACUUGCACUUGCAUUAGUAAUCUGAUUAUUUAUCAUCAUAGACACAUGAAAAACUGAUGUUUUCUCCCCUCCUGAUUUCUAGGAUUCUUCCAGAAAAUGUGGCAACUCUUUCGUCUCACCAUGAGACAAAAGAAAAGGUUCUUUCAUACUCUGAUGCUUCUGAUGUUCUUAGAUAUGCUUUUACUAUGACAGAAGCUGCAAUCGAUCAUGAGUAUGAGAGAUAAUUGUUGAUGGAUGAGGAGCUGAGCUUGGCGGUGGAGCACGGCAUGCUGCUCCGGGAGGAGUGUUCCAUCGUCUUCACGUUCAUCAAUCGGAGGCCUACACUCCCGCCGCCGAGGCCGCUGUGAUGCUGGGAUUUCUUUGGUUGCUUUCUGCCCUGGCAAUAACAUGUAUGUGAGCUAUUCAUCUGCUGAUAGAAGACAGAGCAAAAACUCUAAUACAUGUGAACGGCCGGAAAAAGUUUUUGGAGUGCACCGGUUCACAGAUCAGAGGCCAUGGUUUUCAAUUUUAUUUUUCACUCAUCGCAUUGCUCCUACAUCGAAAAACAAGCCAGCACAAAGUUUACAAGGUCUGCACAUCAAACUAACAAAUGUACCACAAUCGAAGAAUUAUCUCCUAAGAAAAAGCAUGUCGUUCUAACAUCAGAUGGCACGGAAGAAGAUGUGCAUUCUCUAGAGGUGAACAACAGAUGCAAUAUCACUCGUACAUCAAGUCCAAAAAAUCAGUUUUUGAACGUCAUUUCUGAAGAAAUAAACAUUAAUCUCCUCAACCUGACAUCUCAAACAACUAGCUUCAGUUUCAGUGGUGAGUGUAUCCUUUAGAACUACUUUAGAACUGUUCCUAAUAACUGGUCUUCAGUAUUGGAAAUCUAGGACUGGAGUGAUAUUUUUACAGUUGACGUGAUCCAUCUGGAUUUGUUCAAUUUGUGAAAAAGCAUCUUGCAGCAGAUUGUUUGCUCUCUGUUUCCAAAACCUGGUUCUCCAGAUGAUUUAGCUAUAUUUUGUGCUCAUCAAAGAAAGCAGGGCCUGACCCUCCUGACCAAGUUGUCAGAUAAGGCUUGCACGAGUAGAGUGAAUCUCCUCGUAGCAAAUUUUCAUCGGAUUAUCUCAUAUUAUUAUGUAAAACUAUGAUUUUGUUUUACAUAUAUAUCGGUACAUUCAUCGUGUAAAACUCUGAUUUCAUUUAUAUGCAUCAGUGUUAUGUUAUGUGUAAUUCCUACUCUAUUGUUCGUGUUGGCAAAUUGAUCAUAGAAGAUUGAAGAUGUUUGGACAUGUUA